UUCAAGAUAUCUCGAUUGUAGUUUUGACUAGUCAUAAUUCUAAUUAAAGAUAUCUCUAAUUAGUCCAUAAUUCAAGAUAUCUUAAAUGUAUUUUUGGAUAGUGGAAAUGUAGUUUUGACUAGUGGAAAUUAAAUUAUAGAUAUCUUAAAAGCAAAUAAUGACUAGACAAAACUAAAUUAGAGAUAUCUUGAAUUAUAAUAUUGACUAGUCAAAAUUCCUUUUAAGAUAUCUCUAAAUGAAUUAGAGAUAUCUUGAAUUAUUCAACUUUUCUAUUUAAGAUAUCUUAAAUGAACAUUCUGACUAGUCAAAAUUACGUUACAGAUAUCUUGAAUUAGCGUUCUGUCUAGUCAAAACGUCACUGAUUUACGUAGCAUUUUGGCGGACAGGGCGUACAGCAUUCCAGCUUCAAGCUAGUUGACUGUUCAGCGGUUCACAAUGUCAGGUCAGUCCAGCUCAAAUACUCGUGUUUUUAACACAAUAUUUAGCGCGGCAGCUCGUGCUCGACAUGAAUUAAGAAAUACUGAUAAUUUAUUUACAGCAACAAGAAGACUUUUUCGGCGUCAGGUGCAGAGAAGUCGAGGAUCGGUCGGGAGGCAGCCAAGUGUUGUCUGGAAGACAAAUAUUUUUUUGCUUUCUGGCCCUAAUGUUGAUGUUCUUCCUUCUCCCUCGGAUGUACGAAGACUGAAAAACCAUGGAUUAGAGUCACUUGGCGGGC
Molecule: long non-coding RNA, 715 nt
Organism: Poeciliopsis prolifica (blackstripe livebearer)
Lineage: Eukaryota; Metazoa; Chordata; Actinopteri; Cyprinodontiformes; Poeciliidae
Exons: 3
Source: RefSeq, a predicted model, not a curated record